AGCUCCAUAAGCGUAUACUAAAGUUGUUGCAGUUAAAAAGCUCGUAGUUGGAUUUUGGUUCGGGCCGGGGUGGUGUCGUCGCGAGACGUGAACCUCCCGGCCAGUCUCUUUUCUCGAAGACUGCGGGUGCUCUUGACUGGGUGCGCGUCAGGACUCGGGACGUUUAAUUUGAAAAAUUAGAGUGUUCAAAGCAGGCACACUCGUGCCAGAAUACAUGAGCAUGGAAUAAUGGAACAGGACUACGGUCACUGCUGCUUCUGUUGGUUUCAGAGGGCCGAAGUAAUGAUUAAGAGGGACAGUCGGGGGCAUCCGUAUUUCGUAGUCAGAGGUGAAAUUCUUGGAUCUGCGAAAGGCGAACAAGUGCGAAAGCAUUUGCCAAGAGUGUUUUCAUUAAUCAAGA
Molecule: ribosomal RNA, 400 nt
Filed under: phytoplankton environmental sample
Lineage: Eukaryota
Description: partial small subunit ribosomal RNA
Rfam family: Eukaryotic small subunit ribosomal RNA
Source: RNAcentral